AAUCUUGAGGCAAUCAAUCUAAUAGAAAUAUGUAAACAUUCCUAAUGUGUUUAUUGCAGCAAGAAAAAAUAUGCCGAGGUUUUUGCUUUCAAAAAGCUUUUGUUCAAGGCUUUAAAAAAGGUGGAGGGGGGGGGGAGGAGGGAAAGAUUGCUUGCAGUCAUGUUGUAAUUCCAUUUAUAGACACUGAAAUGCAUUAGUAUUCACUGGGUUCUACUAAAUUGCUUCAGUAGAGGGCUGCUGGUGAAGCAGACACUAUGUUAGCUCUGAGAUACCACAGAUUUUUGAAGUUGCCUGUGCUUAUUUAGAUGUAUAAAUGGAGAGUUUGGAGCCUGAGUGUUAGCAUAGAUUGACAAAAGGUUAAAAAUCCUUGGCCUUGGACAGGUCAAUCCAGUUAAGUUUCUGCAUAUUGAGUGAAUCUGCUGUUUGUGAAAUCAGAACUUUAUAUAUAGAAAUGUAGAACAUUCAGUGAUUUCAGCACAGUGCUGGUGCUGGUCUUUGCACUGGAGGAGCCAUGCACAUCUGUUGCCUGGGGAGCCUGGGAGACACUACACUUGCAAUUGCUGUGUUUUAAUCUCUUGCUAUGUAAAUUUCUGCCUGUGGUAUUUCCUGCAAUGCCAGAUCUGUCUUUGGACCCUUGCAUGUAGCCUGAAUUGUCUGAAUUCAUGAGCCUUUCUCAGAUCAAGGUUGCUUGAAUGCUACCUUGGGUGACUGGGUGCUAAGUAGCGUGAGUAAAGGCAGCAAAGUUAGAUUAAUAAUAGCCUGUGAAGCGCUAUCUGAAUGCCAGAUGACAGUUUGAAUCUCUUUUCAUGGACAAUCGUUUGUUUUUGUUUGUAAUUCUUUAAAGGAUUGGAGCAAGAGUUUGGAAUAUUUUUUGGAGAUAAGAACCAGAUUGUCAGAUGUACAGUAGGAUUUAAGUCUCUUAGUUCAAAAAACUUAUAACAAGUUGUCUGAUCACCUCAGACCCAGGAUUUCUGUCUCCUAAGAUAGCCAGUAAAAGCUCCAUUUUCUCCCCAGAUUAUCCAGUUACCUUUCAGAAGUGAUUUGUGUCCAUCAGGCCAGAUGGCCAUGUCUCCAUGAUGUCUGAAGGACGUGUUUUGCACAGCUAGACAAGCAUCUGAAUAACACGUUCUCUUAGCUUCCAGUGGGCAACUUUACAGGCUUACAUUGUGCUUGCUUGUUUUUCCCACAUUUUCUCUGUUUCUGGCCAACGUCUAGUUUAUUUAGCAUUACUGUUUCUUUUGCAAAAAGGUAUUGUACACGCAGCCUCUCUUUCUUCUAACUCCAGUGUUGUACUAUGCUGGGAAACAUCAGUUUAAUGGAGCAGAGCUGAUGAGGACUGGCAAAUUUUAGGUGAAAACUGAAGCAAUGCUCAGCAUCUUCUGAGUGCUGUGCUGGUUGACCACUUCACAUCCAACAGCUGAUGCUCCUACCAGCGCCCACCAGCAGGCAGAGGAACUUGUCUACAAACGGCUAUAACCUAGCAGAAAGAAAGAGCCCUAGAACCUACCAGACCCCAACACCGAGAUCACAUCAAGCGCACUCUGCCUGUCACAGUGUGUUACAUGGAAUAGAAGCCUAGGUGCUAUGUGGUAUCUGAACCACAACUGUGCCUUGUCUAUAAGAGGAUCCUCUUGCAUCCUCUAGUUAGAAGAGGAACAGCCCAUUUAUAUCUUCAUCUGAGAUGAUGUGGACAUCUACCAUCAGACAUGUAUUCAUCCAGAAAAAUUUCAAGCAGUAGUUAUUUCACAGAUUGCCAUUCUCAGAAGACGAAAUACUCUUCCAGACAACUCCCAUUACUACUUGUUUCUUCACAGGCCUCCCUCCCGCAACAGGAAGAAUUUGAUUUCCAAAAAGCCCUAGAUGUAUACUCUUCUUUCCAUCAUAAAUGAACUCCAAAAAAGAUGCUGCUGGACAAACUCUUUCUCCUCAGAUUGUUAUCAACUAUAGCCUCAAGAGACUGAGAGAGAACAUGAUGUGCCAUCUUAGUGUUGCAGCCACUGCUGUUUUGCCUGGGAUUCUUUGCCUGUGGCUGUUGAACAGUUAGCACAUCUCAACUCAGCAGGUCCUUGAAACCAUGAGGAGUACAGCUCAGGUGGAUUGCAGUGCCAGAUACAAGUUGGCAGCCAGCAAUUUAGCUUUGGAAUGGAGUGCUACUUCUGGUCUCCUUCACUGUUGGUGUUGCUGUCACAACUACUGCUGGAACAAGAGCAGAUUGAAGAGUGGAAAGGCUUAGCACAGCAGUGGAUUGCUUUGUCAUGUCUGGGCAGUCUGGUAGAGUGAUUAUGGACCAAGAGAGUGCUAGCACAGGAGAAAUGGCCACAGGAAGGGAUUACCAGCAGAAAUCAUGGACAAGACCUACAUCACAGCGGGAGACAGACCUGCCUGUCACUGUACAAGUGACCAACUGUCAUCUCCUCACAGUUUCUUAGACCUCCUCCAGCUUCCUUCUCAAGGAGCUAGAAUACUUGCUUCCGACUGUGUUCCUUCCUUCAUUUCUAUAAUAAAGUACCUGAAAUUACAGUUU
Non-coding RNA from Phasianus colchicus (ring-necked pheasant), 2524 nucleotides. The record is from RefSeq and is a predicted model, not a curated record. Lineage: Eukaryota; Metazoa; Chordata; Aves; Galliformes; Phasianidae.